CAAUCAGUUUUGAACUGAACUGAAGUGGCCUUAAGAAGGGUGCUUCUUGUGUGAUUGUAUUAGUUUUCUUCAGUGUAAGCAUUAUCUUAAUUUGUUGUAGUAUUUGAUCCUGCGUCCCUAUGAUGAUCACCAAGUGGAUAAGAGUAGUGGACUGAUCACUGUU
Long non-coding RNA from Telopea speciosissima, 163 nucleotides. RefSeq lists it as uncharacterized. NCBI's taxonomy places the organism in Eukaryota, Viridiplantae, Streptophyta, Magnoliopsida, Proteales, Proteaceae. The transcript has 2 exons. The record is from RefSeq and is a predicted model, not a curated record.